RNAcentral lists this ribosomal RNA (497 nucleotides) under uncultured bacterium. Its description in RNAcentral is "partial 16S ribosomal RNA". It matches the Rfam family "Bacterial small subunit ribosomal RNA", at positions 28 to 507 of the family's 1533-position model. The record is from RNAcentral.
GACGAACGCUGGCGGCGUGCCUAAUACAUGCAAGUAGAACGCUGAAGAGAGGAGCUUACUCUUCUUGGAUGAGUUGCGAACGGGUGAGUAACGCGUAGGUAACCUGCCUUGUAGCGGGGGAUAACUAUUGGAAACGAUAGCUAAUACCGCAUAACAAUGGAUGACACAUGUCAUUUAUUUGAAAGGGGCAAUUGCUCCACUACAAGAUGGACCUGCGUUGUAUUAGCUAGUAGGUGAGGUAAUGGCUCACCUAGGCGACGAUACAUAGCCGACCUGAGAGGGUGAUCGGCCACACUGGGACUGAGACACGGCCCAGACUCCUACGGGAGGCAGCAGUAGGGAAUCUUCGGCAAUGGGGGCAACCCUGACCGAGCAACGCCGCGUGAGUGAAGAAGGUUUUCGGAUCGUAAAGCUCUGUUGUAAGUCAAGAACGGGUGUGAGAGUGGAAAGUUCACACUGUGACGGUAGCUUAACAGAAAGGGACGGCUAACUACGUG